Homo sapiens (human) is the source of this 862-nucleotide long non-coding RNA. RefSeq lists it as uncharacterized. The transcript has 3 exons. The record is from RefSeq and is a predicted model, not a curated record. Lineage: Eukaryota; Metazoa; Chordata; Mammalia; Primates; Hominidae.
GCAAAUGUGCGGACACACCCUUAUAAAAUUGUUUCCCACCUGAAAAAGCUUCUACUGAUUUUCCAAGACUGAAUUCAAGGAAAGAAUACCCUGAGAUAUCUGGAUUUUCCAAAGUGGAAGCUGAUAAGGUGUGCACAGCUGGGGGAGUCUCAGAUGGCUGGAGAGACAAAAGUCAGAGCUCAGGAAUCACCAAAAAGGAAGGCCAGCUGCUGAAAGCCGCAUUUUAAACCUGAGAGCCUGUCAGGACACACAGAGGCAUCCAUGGAAAGCCUGUUUUGCGUGUGAACAGCUGGGAGCUGGCCCAUGCUUCUUCAGUUCUGUGCUUUUUGGUCUACAGACUGAUUUCUGUCAUACUGAAGCAAUCCUCACAAUGUUCACAAGAAUUCUGGACAGAAAUACAAUUAUAAUUGAGCAUGAAUCAGGCUGCUCUUUGACCCACUUCCUUGUAACUAAAAGUCAUGUAGCACUAGAUACUGACCAUUCGCUAGAUAUCAACCACUCGCUAGAUACCGACCACUCGCUAGAUACUGACCAUUCGCAUCCCCACUGUUCCCAUAGAUAGCAUCUCUGAUGUUAGAAUCAGAAGGCUUUUGUUUAAGAAUUGCUUAGGCAGAUCCUGAAUUCUGGUGGAACAGCUGAUGCCAACCAGUUUGAAGAGCCCCACAGAGGAACUGAACUGGCAUGAGAAUACAAUGGCUUCCUCUCCCCAUCCCAUGACUUCACCUUGUACUCUUGACCAAUCAACAAUCUCCACACUUCAUGCUACUCCAACCCUUUAAAACCCUCCUAGGGGAGAUGGAUUUGAAGUCUCCCCGUCUCCUCGUUCAACGGUGCUACAAUUAAACCUUUCUCUCUGCUGCAA